Molecule: microRNA precursor, 126 nt
Filed under: Myotis brandtii (Brandt's bat)
Lineage: Eukaryota; Metazoa; Chordata; Mammalia; Chiroptera; Vespertilionidae
Description: mir-9193 microRNA precursor family
Rfam family: mir-9193 microRNA precursor family
Source: Rfam by way of RNAcentral
CAUGCACCGGUGGGGUCCCUCGGCCUGGCCUGUGCCCUCUUACAAUCCUGGACCCCUCAGGGGAUGUCGGAGAGCCAGUUUCAGCCUGAUCCUGCAGGCCAGGCUGAGGGACCCCACUGAUGCACG